AUGUCUAUUGGCAGCUGUGGAUCCUGUGGAUAUGCUCUAAAUCUUUCAUCUUCUAACAGAAGCACAUCUGACGUAGGAUCCUCGUACCAAAAAUCUCUGAAGAAGGGUCUGAUUUCAUUCACUUCUAUUGAUCUCAGCCGUUUUACUCAGGUUGACGAGAUAUCUUGUUUUCCUUUCCUUACCUGGCGUAGCUACCGGCCAAAAACUAAGCUUCUGUGCCGAAAAUGUGGAUCAUCUAUUGGCUAUGGAUACGUAUACAAGGAGCAUGCCCAGUGCCUUCCAAAGAUGUUGGCCCGUUCUCCAUAUCUUAAGUUGAUAUCCCUUGCGGGGCUUAAUGAGCUAUCUGAUUCAGCUCUGUAUGAAGUGGGAGUUUCUGGAACAUCUUUGCAGUCCUUCUCAUUGUACUCCUGUUCUGGCAUAACAGAUGAUGGUCUAGCACAAGUGUCAAUCGGAUGUCCUAAUUUGGUUAUAGUGGAACUUUACCGCUGCUUAAAUAUCACCGAUCUUGGUUUGGAAAGUCUUUCCAAGGGCUGUCAUUCUUUGAAGAGUCUUAACCUUGGUUACUGCACAGCCAUUUCAGAUCGAGGGAUUAGUUCAAUCUUUAGGAAUUGCCGAAACAUUUGUGCACUCAUCAUAUCAUAUUGCAGAGGUGUAUCUGGUGUUGGAUUUAGAGGUUGCCCAAGUACACUUUCUUACCUAGAAGCUGAGUCCUGCAUGCUUUCUCCAGAGGGAAUGCUAGACAUAUCGAGUGGUGGUGGACUCCAGUACAUAAAUUUGUAUAAUCUAAGGAGUUCAGCUGGGCUGGAUUGCCUAGGUGGAGUUGGCAGUAUGAAGAAACUCCGAGUUCUGAAUCUGAGGAUGUGCCGCAAUCUUACUGAUGAUUCUGUGGUGGCAAUAGCUAGCGGGUGUCCGUUGAUUGAGGAGUGGAGCCUUGCUGUCUGUCAUGGCGUCCGCUUACCUGGUUGGUCGGCGAUUGGAUUGAACUGCAACAAGCUAAGAAUUCUUCAUGUGAACCGUUGCAGAAACAUAUGCGACCAAGGAUUGCAGGCUCUCAAGGACGGAUGUGUGCGCCUUGAGGUCUUGCAUAUACAUGGCUGUGGAAAGAUUACAAAUAAUGGCCUGGCACUGUUCAGCAUUACUAGGCCUAGUGUGAAGCAAAUGGUGGAUGAAGCCAUGUCCAUUGGCCCCUCCAUCGAGGAUUUAUUCCGGUUGCAGUGA
This 1218-nucleotide ribosomal RNA is filed under the name Triticum aestivum (bread wheat). RNAcentral's name for it is "partial small subunit ribosomal RNA". Lineage: Eukaryota; Viridiplantae; Streptophyta; Magnoliopsida; Poales; Poaceae. The record is from RNAcentral.